This 1344-nucleotide ribosomal RNA is filed under the name Salmonella enterica subsp. enterica serovar Goldcoast. RNAcentral's name for it is "partial 23S ribosomal RNA". It matches the Rfam family "Bacterial large subunit ribosomal RNA", at positions 161 to 1547 of the family's 2925-position model. Lineage: Bacteria; Pseudomonadati; Pseudomonadota; Gammaproteobacteria; Enterobacterales; Enterobacteriaceae. The record is from RNAcentral.
AAUCCAUAGGUUAAUGAGGCGAACCGGGGGAACUGAAACAUCUAAGUACCCCGAGGAAAAGAAAUCAACCGAGAUUCCCCCAGUAGCGGCGAGCGAACGGGGAGGAGCCCAGAGCCUGAAUCAGCAUGUGUGUUAGUGGAAGCGUCUGGAAAGGCGCGCGAUACAGGGUGACAGCCCCGUACACAAAAGCGCAUGUGCUGUGAGCUCGAUGAGUAGGGCGGGACACGUGGUAUCCUGUCUGAAUAUGGGGGGACCAUCCUCCAAGGCUAAAUACUCCUGACUGACCGAUAGUGAACCAGUACCGUGAGGGAAAGGCGAAAAGAACCCCGGCGAGGGGAGUGAAAAAGAACCUGAAACCGUGUACGUACAAGCAGUGGGAGCACCCUUUGGGGUGUGACUGCGUACCUUUUGUAUAAUGGGUCAGCGACUUAUAUUCUGUAGCAAGGUUAACCGCAUAGGGGAGCCGGAGGGAAACCGAGUCUUAAUUGGGCGUUAAGUUGCAGGGUAUAGACCCGAAACCCGGUGAUCUAGCCAUGGGCAGGUUGAAGGUUGGGUAACACUAACUGGAGGACCGAACCGACUAAUGUUGAAAAAUUAGCGGAUGACCUGUGGCUGGGGGUGAAAGGCCAAUCAAACCGGGAGAUAGCUGGUUCUCCCCGAAAGCUAUUUAGGUAGCGCCUCGUGAACUCAUCUCCGGGGGUAGAGCACUGUUUCGGCUAGGGGGCCAUCCCGGCUUACCAACCCGAUGCAAACUGCGAAUACCGGAGAAUGUUAUCACGGGAGACACACGGCGGGUGCUAACGUCCGUCGUGAAGAGGGAAACAACCCAGACCGCCAGCUAAGGUCCCAAAGUCAUGGUUAAGUGGGAAACGAUGUGGGAAGGCCCAGACAGCCAGGAUGUUGGCUUAGAAGCAGCCAUCAUUUAAAGAAAGCGUAAUAGCUCACUGGUCGAGUCGGCCUGCGCGGAAGAUGUAACGGGGCUAAACCAUGCACCGAAGCUGCGGCAGCGACGCUUAUGCGUUGUUGGGUAGGGGAGCGUUCUGUAAGCCUGCGAAGGUGGCCUGUGAGGGUUGCUGGAGGUAUCAGAAGUGCGAAUGCUGACAUAAGUAACGAUAAAGCGGGUGAAAAGCCCGCUCGCCGGAAGACCAAGGGUUCCUGUCCAACGUUAAUCGGGGCAGGGUGAGUCGACCCCUAAGGCGAGGCCGAAAGGCGUAGUCGAUGGGAAACGGGUUAAUAUUCCCGUACUUGGUGUUACUGCGAAGGGGGGACGGAGAAGGCUAUGUUGGCCGGGCGACGGUUGUCCCGGUUUAAGCGUGUAGGUGUGUGUUCCAGGUAAAUCCGGUU